This is a long non-coding RNA of Planococcus citri (citrus mealybug), 1085 nucleotides long. RefSeq lists it as uncharacterized. The transcript is spliced from 6 exons. The record is from RefSeq and is a predicted model, not a curated record. NCBI's taxonomy places the organism in Eukaryota, Metazoa, Arthropoda, Insecta, Hemiptera, Pseudococcidae.
UUUUCCUGUCUCAUUUUGCCGGAUUUUAAUUAAUAAAUGAAGUUAAUUGAUCGCAAUAAAAGUAUAAUAAUUCAUUAAAUAGACAUUCGAUGGUUUAUCCUCAGCCCAGUGAUCGAUUCUGACACGAUGAUGGUGGCUAUAUCGUUCGAUUCAUCAAACAGUACUCGUUGGAAUUGGUGAAAAAUUAUCAAAAAACACCUAGAAUUCGGUUUCAUUAGUACUAACGGCGCUGAAUUGUUCUAUACCUACGUCCUACGUUGAGAGUAAAUUGAUCAUCGUCGCUUGUUUCAUAGAUCGUUCAGCUCUCAUUGAGGCAUAACGGGAUGAAUUCAAAGAAAAGUCGAAGAAAAUCCGGCGUUGAAUUGUUCUCGUACCUAACCUACGUUAAUAGUAAAUUAAUCACCAAUCACCAUCGCUUGUUAGUUUGUUCCAUGGAUUGUUCAGCUCUCAUUGAGACAUGAUGGGAUGAAUUCUGGAAAAGGAGUCCAUGAUUGCUGGUUUUGAAGAUAAUGAAAAUACCGAUGUGCAACUUUUAUUAAUUUGAAGUAAUCUCAGCUGUACGAUCAUAGCAACGAUUUCAUAAAGACGGAGAGUCGGGGACCUAAUCUCGCAGCAUCCUUCAUGCACCUUCGCUUCAGAUUGACCGCAAGGCAACGUGGGCAAACUACACGACUACACGUCUUCAGCAGCACAUUCUCAUCGAAAGGAUUUCUCCAUGGAGCAGCUUGUUAAAAAGUGGAAAUGGGAAUAUCUAGGAGGACUCAUCAAAGCCAUCCAAGAAUUUUCUCAACAAAAUGAAACUAUUAAUUAAUGGCCAGUUGGACCAGCAGUUCGUAAGCUUCGUGAGAAACUCGUAUUUGGCCGAUGAUAUAGACGCAUCUUGAAGUCAUCUACAGUCGCAGUCGAUAAUUGGUCACUUAUGGUUUAAUUUUAAUUAUAAAAAUUGCAAUCCGUACCUACCUUUGUUUGUACACAAAUGAAAAAUGAUUGAGCUAAAUAUUUUAUGUAAUCUCUUGAUAAACAUUGUAAAUAAUAUUGUAUUCUCAAGCAUUGUUAUUUUAAUAAAUUGUUGAUUUUUAUGUGUU